This 497-nucleotide ribosomal RNA is filed under the name uncultured bacterium. Its description in RNAcentral is "partial 16S ribosomal RNA". It matches the Rfam family "Bacterial small subunit ribosomal RNA", at positions 28 to 507 of the family's 1533-position model. The record is from RNAcentral.
GAUGAACGCUGGCGGCGUGCCUAAUACAUGCAAGUCGAGCGAACGGACGAGAAGCUUGCUUCUCUGAUGUUAGCGGCGGACGGGUGAGUAACACGUGGAUAACCUACCUAUAAGACUGGGAUAACUUCGGGAAACCGUAGCUAAUACCGGAUAAUAUUUUGAACCGCAUGGUUCAUAAGUGAAAGACGGUCUUGCUGUCACUUAUAGAUGGAUCCGCGCUGCAUUAGCUAGUUGGUAAGGUAACGGCUUACCAAGGCAACGAUGCAUAGCCGACCUGAGAGGGUGAUCGGCCACACUGGAACUGAGACACGGUCCAGACUCCUACGGGAGGCAGCAGUAGGGAAUCUUCCGCAAUGGGCGAAAGCCUGACGGAGCAACGCCGCGUGAGUGAUGAAGGUCUUCGGAUCGUAAAACUCUGUUAUUAGGGAAGAACAUAUGUGUAAGUAACUGUGCACGUCUUGACGGUACCUAAUCAGAAAGCCACGGCUAACUACGUG